GCCGAUUUAGCUCAGUUUGGUAGAGCGUCUGAUUUGUAAUCAGAGGGUCACAGGUUCAAGUCCUGUAGUCGGCA
RNAcentral lists this transfer RNA (74 nucleotides) under Lactococcus phage AM6. RNAcentral's name for it is "tRNA-Thr". It matches the Rfam family "tRNA". Rfam says of the family: Transfer RNA (tRNA) molecules are approximately 80 nucleotides in length. Their secondary structure includes four short double-helical elements and three loops (D, anti-codon, and T loops). The record is from RNAcentral. RNAcentral also lists the same sequence under 7 other names. Lineage: Duplodnaviria; Heunggongvirae; Uroviricota; Caudoviricetes.